ACCAGGAUGGCCGAGUGGUUAAGGCGUUGGACUUAAGUUCCAAUGUACGAAUGUACGCGUGGGUUCGAACCUCACUCCUGGUA
RNAcentral lists this transfer RNA (83 nucleotides) under Nematostella vectensis (starlet sea anemone). It matches the Rfam family "tRNA". From Rfam's summary of the family: Transfer RNA (tRNA) molecules are approximately 80 nucleotides in length. Their secondary structure includes four short double-helical elements and three loops (D, anti-codon, and T loops). Lineage: Eukaryota; Metazoa; Cnidaria; Anthozoa; Actiniaria; Edwardsiidae. The record is from Rfam by way of RNAcentral.